GAUGAAGAACGUAGCGAAUCGCGAUAUGUAGUGUGAUCUGCCUCUAGUGAAUCAUCAAAUCUUUGAACGCAUCUUGCACCCUUUGGUAUUCCAAAGGGUACGCCUGUUUCAGUAUCAUUAUAACCUUUCUCCCCAAGGCUUUUUGGCCAAGGAGGGAAAGAGCAUAACCGGUGGCCCAGCGGUCUCCCUUCAGGGGGAUUGUCUCGGCUGGAAUGACUGUUGCAAUGGUGGGCCAAAUGGUCUUCCGCACGUGAUAAAUGUACUUUUAUAAAGAGCGGGACCGGUCUGCCGAAAGUUGUAACUAAACCCUUUACCUUUGAUCUGAAAUCAGGCGGGAUUACCCGCUGAACUUAAGCAUAUCAAUAAGCGGAGGA
RNAcentral lists this unclassified non-coding RNA (374 nucleotides) under soil metagenome. RNAcentral describes it as "partial contains 5.8S ribosomal RNA, internal transcribed spacer 2, and large subunit ribosomal RNA". The stretch from base 1 to 117 matches the Rfam family "5.8S ribosomal RNA", at positions 35 to 154 of the family's 154-position model. The record is from RNAcentral.